AAAUCAAUGUAUAAGAGGUCCUACCUGCCCAGUGACAUUUAGUUAAACGGCCGCGGUAUUUUGACCGUGCUAAGGUAGCGCAAUCACUUGUCUUUUAAAUGAAGACCUGUAUGAAUGGUGGAACGAGGGCUUAACUGUCUCCCCCCUUAGGUCAGUGAAAUUGAUCUCCCCGUGCAGAAGCGGGUAUAACUAUACAAGACGAGAAGACCCUUUGGAGCUUAAGACACAGGGCCAACUAUGUCAAGAAUUUUUAUUAAUGAAAAUGAAACAAAAUAUUAAGUGGCCGGAGUCUUCGGUUGGGGCGACCGCGGAGGAAAAUAAAGCCUCCAUGUGGAAUGGGGUAACCUAAAACCGUGAGGGACACCUCUAAGUAACAGAAUAUCUGACCAAGAGAUCCGGUCCUAGGACCGAUCAACGAACCAAGUUACCCUAGGGAUAACAGCGCAAUCCCCUCCAAGAGUCCAUAUCGACAAGGGGGUUUACGACCUCGAUGUUGGAUCAGGACAUCCUAAUGGUGCAGCCGCUAUUAAGGGUUCGUUUGUUCAACGAUUAAAGU
This 556-nucleotide ribosomal RNA is filed under the name Attonitus ephimeros. Its description in RNAcentral is "partial 16S ribosomal RNA". It matches the Rfam family "Bacterial large subunit ribosomal RNA", at positions 1835 to 2594 of the family's 2925-position model. The record is from RNAcentral. Lineage: Eukaryota; Metazoa; Chordata; Actinopteri; Characiformes; Stevardiidae.